Zootermopsis nevadensis is the source of this 1021-nucleotide non-coding RNA. NCBI's taxonomy places the organism in Eukaryota, Metazoa, Arthropoda, Insecta, Blattodea, Termopsidae. The record is from RefSeq and is a predicted model, not a curated record.
UCAGUAAAUAUAAAAUAACUUCUGUCUUCCUAUUUUUAGAACGAGAAAGUUUAUUUCCUUGUGAUCCUCAAAUCAAAUAAAAGCUAACCACAAAUGAAAACCCAAAGAAUACAAAGCAAUGACUACGACUGCCGAUAAUAAUGCAAUACCUCUUUUCGUUUACAGCUUUAUAUUUUUUAUGAUGUACACACCCCGCAAAAAACCGGGCACCCGGUCUAAAAUGGUGCCGCGUGCCGUUAAAAACCCACUAUCGCAUCAAAAAAACCCUAUUCACCCUCAAAAUUUCUUUCGCGUUCUUCUCCUUUACUUCUUCGAAUCCUUUAUGGCCCCUGUAUGUCGAGGCUAUAGCCCUCUAUACCCAGCUACUAUACCUCCACCAACUAAAUGUAACCCCUUACAAUAAUGGCGCUAGCUGUUUUACCCCCUCCCCCUUUUACUGAAAAGUCCGCCUCUCUCUAACGUCACCCCCCACUCCUACCUUUUCGUAUCUCUCCUUCUGUGCACUCCUCCACAGAAGCACUGAAAAAGGACUCACACACACGUUCUUUCUCGCUCUCACUCAGUUGUAGACUUGUAAAUAACACGAGCCAAUCAGAGUACAGGUGUUGUUAGAGGCAACCAAUAGGAAGAGCGAAUGUCGACGGGUCUCAGCAAAGAUGAAUGAGGACCGUGGCACGAGAGGCUGCAGACUACGGUGUUCUGCUAAGCAGCCUCCUGAAGAACUGGUCAGCUUCCAGAAGCUAACGGCGACUUGGGUGUACUCCUGUUACAUCAUGAAGCUCAAACCGUGGUCGUCAUUGCAGCAAGGGGUGGGGAAAUUGGACAAGCUUCAGGUAUUACUUUCUACAAAAAUUUUGUGUUGAACGCAUUUCAUUCUGCACAUAUGAGGAGCAGACAAUUCAGAAUGAAUGCCCGUCUGUGUAGUUAAUCAACUUUGCUUACAAUUUUUGUUGUUCAAGCAUAAGAUCUGUCUACAUUUCAGCCAAUUUAGCUGCAUUAAUAAAAGCAAUUCAAGUCCUCA